AGUGAACGCUGGCGGUAGGCCUAACACAUGCAAGUCGAACGGCAGCACAGUAAGAGCUUGCUCUUACGGGUGGCGAGUGGCGGACGGGUGAGUAAUACAUCGGAAUCUACUUUUUCGUGGGGGAUAACGUAGGGAAACUUACGCUAAUACCGCAUACGACCUACGGGUGAAAGCAGGGGAUCUUCGGACCUUGCGCGAUUGAAUGAGCCGAUGUCGGAUUAGCUAGUUGGCGGGGUAAAGGCCCACCAAGGCGACGAUCCGUAGCUGGUCUGAGAGGAUGAUCAGCCACACUGGAACUGAGACACGGUCCAGACUCCUACGGGAGGCAGCAGUGGGGAAUAUUGGACAAUGGGCGCAAGCCUGAUCAAGCCAUACCGCGUGGGUGAAGAAGGCAUUCGAGUUGUAAAGCCCUUUUGUUGGGAAAGAAAAGCAGCAGGUUAAUACCCCGCUGUUCUGACGGUACCCAAAGAAUAAGCACCGGCUAACUUCGUG
Molecule: ribosomal RNA, 492 nt
Filed under: uncultured bacterium
Lineage: Bacteria
Description: partial 16S ribosomal RNA
Rfam family: Bacterial small subunit ribosomal RNA
Source: RNAcentral